Molecule: long non-coding RNA, 1713 nt
Organism: Ictalurus punctatus (channel catfish)
Lineage: Eukaryota; Metazoa; Chordata; Actinopteri; Siluriformes; Ictaluridae
Exons: 4
Source: RefSeq, a predicted model, not a curated record
UGUGAUCCAUUCGGAUCCAUUCACCAUGCUAUGUCAUGCUCUGGUGAUCGGAACGCAGAAGUCACGUGACGGAGCACAGCAACAGUAACCAGUUUUUCAGCUCAGUUCAGUUCGUGCUCGUAGUUACAGAUAGAAAGACGAGCUCUGAAUCACUCGGCACUACGUCACAUCUCCUGCUGUGCCUGUGUGAGGAGUGAGAAUUGCAUGAUGGGAAAUAACAUGUCAGGACAUGGGCAAAAUCCGUUGUCAGAGACAGCAGCAGGUGCAGUACUGAGCUUUACGUGCACAGGAACUGAUCUGAACUCGGAUCAUCCUGCUUACGUCAACAUCUUAACUAAUAAAAGACUGCAGGCCCUGAUCACAGAAUUUCAACACCCUGACUGUAACCAGUGGAGUAUCCAAAGAUUAGAAGAAUUUUAGCACCCAGCAGAGCAACUUGUUAACAAAACAAGCUUUUCUUAUCUUUCAAUCUUGUCUUUCAAUCUGUUGUGUUUACGUGACCUCAGUAUUCUAAAGAUGAGCAACAUGAUGAUUUCAAGACAAGAAGCUCAACAAAGCACACAGUCAUGAAGGAAUCAUGAAUUGCACUUGCUACAUCAUUAUUUAUUCUGCAUCAUUAUUUAUCCUCUUUUAUGUUUCUGUUUACAUUAGGAACAUCCCAGUUCCUCGAGGAUUUUGCGAUCACAGAAGUGAAAGCAAAAUCAAGCAAACCCCUCUUUGAUUUACAUGCGUUGAACAUGAAUACAGCUAAAAUGUCUCGUUUACCAACAAACAUCGCUGUGAAAGACCAUACAAAACAAUUUCGUGCAAUCACAAGUUUACCAAUGCAAGUAGUUUUCUGCAAAAAAAAAAAAAAACACAAAAAACUCACAGCAUUUUUGGCUGUAACGCAUCACAAAAAAACUUCACAUAAAAAUCCUGUAUGGACUGAACAUACACCAUGAAUGAAGAUCUCAGUCUAAGAUUUUUUAUAGUGAAAAUUUGUGAGUUUUUUUGUUGUUGUUGUUGUUGUUGUUGUUGUUGUUGUUGUUGUUGUUAUUAUUUUAUUUUUUUCAGUGACAUGCCGUUUUUUCACUUUGAUUAACAUUUUCCUACAUUACCCACAAUACUGUUUCACUCCCUGGUGAUAGUGGUGCAGUGAGAUUUAGCCCUCAUGUCAUCUCUAGCUGAAGAGAGCGAUGCAGCAGCUCUUUAGUCCUUUUGUCUGUCUAGCUGUCUCUCUUGUGUACAAGAGAGUGUGUGUGUUUCAGGGUGGAGGUUUCCUUUAAACGAUGGCCAGAGAGCCAUUUAUGAAUCCUUGAGCAAAAAAACUUAGCUACUCUGAACUGCUCAGCUGUGUGAAUUGUAUCUCAACCUGUCAAAUAAAUAAAUCUGUUGUUAAGAGAGAGAGAUUAGUAGAUCAGUCAUAAAAUGAAAACCGUUUUAAAUACUUGGUGUUCUUUUGAUGAACGUGCCUUCAAAUACAGCAGAAAGGUCUGAUCUUUUCUCUUUUAUAAUUAUAUUUUUUAUUUUAUUUUUUUAUACAUGUCUAUGGCUGUAAAUGUAAGCAUUACUGAUAACUCUGCACUUUCCUCAUGAUGUGAAACAUUUUCUGUUUUGCAUAAUUAUUAUGAGAAAUGUACUUAAUGUGAAUUACAUUGUAAUUGUUUUAGAAUAAUUUCCUUUCAGACAAUAUUUUUGAAAUCUGUCAAUAAAUCCUUUCAGCAUCUUGGA